This 301-nucleotide ribosomal RNA is filed under the name uncultured bacterium. Its description in RNAcentral is "partial 16S ribosomal RNA". It matches the Rfam family "Bacterial small subunit ribosomal RNA", at positions 509 to 809 of the family's 1533-position model. The record is from RNAcentral.
CAGUCGCCGCGGGAAAACGAAGGGGGCUAGCGUUGCUCGGAAUUACUGGGCGUAAAGGGAGCGUAGGCGGAUGUUUAAGUCAGAGGUGAAAGCCCAGGGCUCAACCUUGGAACUGCCUUUGAUACUGGACAUCUUGAGUGUGGGAGAGGUAAGCGGAACUCCGAGCGUAGAGGUGAAAUUCGUAGAUAUUCGGAAGAACACCAGUGGCGAAGGCGGCUUACUGGCCCAUUACUGACGCUGAGGCUCGAAAGCGUGGGGAGCGAACAGGAUUAGAUACCCCAGUAGUCCCUGUCUCUUAUAA